This 253-nucleotide ribosomal RNA is filed under the name uncultured bacterium. RNAcentral describes it as "partial 16S ribosomal RNA". It matches the Rfam family "Bacterial small subunit ribosomal RNA", at positions 793 to 1055 of the family's 1533-position model. The record is from RNAcentral.
GUCCACACGGUAACGAUGAAUACUCGCUGUUGCGAUAUACAGCAAGCGGCCAAGCGAAGCGUUAAGUAUUCCACCUGGGGAGUACGCCGGCAACGGUGAACUCAAAGGAAUUGACGGGGGCCCGCACAAGCGGAGGAACAUGUGGUUUAAUUCGAUGAUACGCGAGGAACCUUACCCGGGCUUAAAUUGCAGAUGAAUUACGGUGAAAGCCGUAAGCCGCAAGGCAUCUGUGAAGGUGCUGCAUGGUUGUCGU